RNAcentral lists this ribosomal RNA (468 nucleotides) under uncultured bacterium. RNAcentral describes it as "partial 16S ribosomal RNA". It matches the Rfam family "Bacterial small subunit ribosomal RNA", at positions 28 to 507 of the family's 1533-position model. The record is from RNAcentral.
GACGAACGCUGGCGGCGUGCUUAACACAUGCAAGUCGAACGGAAAGGCCCUGCUUUUGUGGGGUGCUCGAGUGGCGAACGGGUGAGUAACACGUGAGUAACCUGCCCUUGACUUUGGGAUAACUUCAGGAAACUGGGGCUAAUACCGGAUAGGAGCUCCUGCUGCAUGGUGGGGGGUGGAAAGUUUCGGCGGUUGGGGAUGGACUCGCGGCUUAUCAGCUUGGUGGUGGGGUAGUGGCUUAUCAAGGCUUUGACGGGUAGCCGGCCUGAGAGGGUGACCGGCCACAAUGGUACUGAGACACGGCCCAGACGCCUACGGGAGGCAGCAGUGUGGAAUAUUGCACAAUGGGCGGAAGCCUGAUGCAGCAACCCCGCGUGCGGGAUGAAGGCCUUCGGGUUGUAAACCGCUUUCGCCUGUGACGAAGCGUGAAUGACGGUAAUGGGUAAAGAAGCACCGGCUAACUACGUG